AAUUAAUUAAAAUAAAUAUAAUACAGUUCAUUAGUCACAUAAUUUAAGUGUUCAGUAGCCACAUGUGGCUAGUGACUACUGUAUUGACUCUGGUGUCCAUUGUAUUGAACAAUACAGAUAGAACACAGAAAAUUCUGUUGCAUAGUCUGACUCUAAAUGAUUUCAAUCUGACAAAAUUUGUUGAGGCUUGCUUCACAAACCAGCAUAUGCUCAGUUUUGGAAAAUGUUCUCGGUGCACCUAAAAAGAAUCAAGUUUCCUGCCAUUAUUGGUUGCACUGUUAUCUAUAUGUCCAUUAGAUAAUUUUAUUAAUCAUAUUGUCCAAAUACACUAUAUUCUUGGGCAUUUUUUCCUGCUUGUUCUCUUUUACUAAGAGAUUUGCAUAAGUCUCCUACUAAGAUUGUAGAUUUACCUUUCUCGUUUUAGCUUUGUCAAUUUCAGCUUUAUAUACUGUGAAGCAAAAUUGUUAGGUGUAUACACAUUUAGUAUAUUUCUAUUUUCUUGGUAAACUGUGUCUGGCUUAUUUCACAUAGUAUGAUGCCUUCAGUGUUCCUCUAUGACAUAGUGUGUAUCAAAAUUUCCUUUCUCUGUAAAGCUGAGUAAUAUUCUAUUGUAUUUAUAUACCACAUUUUGUUUAUUCAUUGUCUGUCAAUGGACAUUCAGAUUGUUUUCAGCUUUUGGCUAUUGUCAAUAAUGCUGCUGUGAUCAGUGUACAAAUAUUUGAGUCCCUUCUUUCAACCAUUUUGUGUAUAUACUCAGAAGUAGAAUUACUGGAUCAUAUUGUAAUUCAGUGUUUAAUUUUUUAAGGACCCACCAUACUGGUUCCUACAGUGGCUACACCAUUUUACAUUCCCAUCAGCAUUGUGCAAGAGUUCCAAUUUCUCACCAACAAUAUUAUUUCCUUACUUCCUUCUAGCCCUCCUUCCUUCCUUUCUUAAUGGCUAUCCUAACAGGUAUAGAAUGAUAUCUCACUGAGGUUUUGGUCUGCAUUUCCCUAAUGAUUAGUGAUACUGAGUAUCUUUUUAUGUGCUUUUUGACCAUUUUUAUAACAUCUUUGGAGAAAUGUCUAUUCAAGCCAUUUGAUCAGUUAAAAAAUGUGGUUAAUUAUUGUUGAGUUGUAGGGGUUCUUUAUAUAGUCUGAAUAUUAAUCCCUUAUCUGUAAAUCUAUGGCUGUUUCAUGUUGAUGUUUGAUAGAAAUGAAUACAAUACUGUAAAGCAAU
Long non-coding RNA from Bos taurus (domestic cattle), 1218 nucleotides. Lineage: Eukaryota; Metazoa; Chordata; Mammalia; Artiodactyla; Bovidae. The record is from Ensembl.